Long non-coding RNA from Rhincodon typus (whale shark), 3157 nucleotides. RefSeq lists it as uncharacterized. The transcript has 3 exons. The record is from RefSeq and is a predicted model, not a curated record. Lineage: Eukaryota; Metazoa; Chordata; Chondrichthyes; Orectolobiformes; Rhincodontidae.
AGACUUGGGUAGGCGUCUAGACAUGUUUAUAGGUUUGUAAAACCAUCAGCUUUGCAUACUCGCUUCUACAGGUUCGGGUUGUAAAUCAAGCUGCAAUUUUUUGCACUUACUUGGGUCAAGUUGCUGUUGUUUCUCCUCCUUGUGCUCACUGUUGCUCGUAGUCUCGGAGCUGGUGCAACCAAGCUCCUUGGGAAGCUUCUCCCUGCACUCUGGGUAGGAGCCGCAAGUGAAGUCCGGCAGGCUGAGAGUUUGCAGCUCAUAGGAAGAGCACUCAGUCCUCUUGGUUGAUAAAGUUUCUGGCUUGAUCCCGUAAUGCCGGCCAUUAGGAUGGAAUCCGGGGAAAGAGACUGAACUGGAAAUCGGUUCUAACCACGAGCGCACGUAUCUGCUGUCUCCAGCUGCAAGAUGCGAUUGAUGCAUGUAAGGAUGAUAGAUUCCUGCAACGGCGGCAGAGGAUUGAGGGUGAACGGGAGACCAGGGAUUUGAAAAUGCGGUUGACUUGGGGGUAAAACUGCAGGAAGAGAAAUCUGAAGUGUCUGCUACACCUGAUGGCCUUGAAGCUGCGCCGUGUGAUCCUUGGGAAUACCUAGCCGCAUAUAAGUCCUCUGUCUCUUGACCUAUGAAAGAAUCAACAUAAUAAUUGUGUAUAGUGCCACCGGUCGACAUUUUAGGCUCUCUCGCUUUCAUAGAAAAGGUUACACUGGAAAGUGUAUCUGAUACCUUCACACAGAACAAUCAUAGUAUUUUGCCGACUACAGUUGCAGCUAUUGGUUGCGGGACUCACGUGAUUAUAUUUACCAAUACAGCGAGUAAAUCAAUCCGCUCAUCAGCCUGACCGCAACGGGGCCAAGCCCAGCUUUAUACCAAAUUGAAAACCAUGCAUUAUGAAUGGAUUAAACAAAAUCACUUGAUCAGAAUUGUUGGAAAAAUUCUGCUGGAUCCAAAGGAGCAAUCUCUGCAAGCGCAGUUAAACCAGCCCUGGAGAAACAUGGGGACUACUUUCCCCGUCAGUUAAUUAAUGUCUGUCACUCAUUUCAUAAUCAGCAGUGCGUAGUCCAUGAUCUAUGUCAAGAGCAGAUAUCUGUUAGCUUAGUGCAAUAAAGCGGCAAGAAAACACCUUCGAGAGUUAACGUGGUUAAGAUUGAGUAUCAACUAUCUCUCCACCUUCACAAAUUAACUCGCAUUGAAAGAACGCAUUGCAACUUAAAUACCCGAUGAACAGUGCGCCAGUGGUAAAGGAUUACUUUUCUUGUAAGUUUCCUGUCAUGUGAUACAGAAGACAAAACCAAAAUGCCCUGUUUAAAUAAUAGGUGCAUUUGCACGGAUCGGGAUGCUACUAAACUCCAAUUGGGAAUUACUUUUCUAUGUAUAACUGUUAUCAAUGAAAAGUAGUUCCGUACAAUUAUUGACAAAGAGUAGGAACUCGGUUGGCUUUGAAAAGAAGUGCAUCCGUAAAUGCAGAUUUAACUUGACUCCUGACGCUCUUCAUUAAUUAGAUUGAGCCUUCUCCAUUACAAAAAAAGUGUAACGAAUUAAACCUUUGACUGGCCGUCUCAUUCAGCUCACUCUCCGCUCCUAACGCUUUGAUUUGUUUCUUGUCUAUGAAAAUUAGAUUAAGGGAUGGCCUUUAAGAAAUAUCACGGAACUAUGCGAAACUCGUUACGUUGUGCGCUAAAAAAUAUCGAAGAUCUAACGAUGUUACUGAAGUUAUUUUGUUUUAUUGCCGCGGGUGGCAGUUACAAGAUAAGCUGCGCAUCCUAAAAGAACAGAGCAUUGAAUUCAUGAUGUUUGAUCCCCACUGCAACCAAAUAUUCUUAGUAUUUCGUACCGGAUAAAAUAACACUUAAGCAUGAAAAUGAUCGUUUGCAUUGAACAUGUGGGAAUCACUAAUGCAAGGUGUCUAUUUAUUAACAGCAAGGUGGCAGUCAUAAAAAAAAAGUAGUUUUGAUCUCCUGGUUAAAGUGAAACUCAAAUAAACAUUGAAGCAGAACUGUGAAAGUUUUGUUUUCGUUAAUAAAGCGGGUUACUAUUUCCCCUAAAUAUUUCCUCAGAAAAUCUUAACAUUGAAUGUUAUUGAUCCAAAUUGCUAAGUUAGACCUCACUUGCUUAUGCCGCAUCAGUAGAUUUAGCUACAAACAGAAAAACGAAAUGUAUGGCGUAUUAUUGACAAACAAAUCAUCGCCAAGAGAAAAAGCAUGAAUAAAUAUGUAACAAAAACAGAAAUGCUGGAAAAUCUAGAAAUCCUCAGCAGGUCAGACAGCAUCCGCGGAGGGAAAUCGAGCUAAAGUUUCAGUCGAUUUCCAACGUUUUCUGUUUUUAUUUUCCAGAUUCGCGACAUUCCCAGUGUCUUGCCGUUCGUUAAAUAAAUGCCUGCCCAUUUUGGUGCCAGUUCUUAAUUAAUCUUUUUUUUUAUAAAACAAAAAUAGACGUAUAGGGGCACGAUAAGCCAUGUUUUGAUAAAUUGAUGUCUACAUGUAAAAGUUUUGUGGCUUGUCUCAAACUAGACGCACUGCAGAUUUUUUGUUUAAUUUCGAAUCUAGCAAUUCAGUGUUAGUCUCCUACCUGUUACGAAAACGUGGUGAUGUUCUAAAGUAUAGUGUAGGGAAAUACUAUUUAAUUAAUAUCUGCAUUAACAUCUGUAUUAAUAUCUGCGUAGCUGCAUUUAUCAAACCUUUAUCUGUUAUGAGAAACACUAUGGUUGACGUUGUUAAAUCAUUUUGUUGAAAUAUCCACGAAUAAUUUAACAAUUUCACCUGUGGCCAUUGGCAAAGCUUCCCAAGUUGUGAAAUGGAUUAAAGAAAGUGAAAUCUAAUUUAGGAUUUAUUGUUUAUAUUUAUAUAUAUAUACGUGCAACAGACACAUGCAUAUAAAUAGACAUGAAAAUUUGCAUCACGACUCCAUCACAAACUCCAAAAAGGAUCUAAGAAUUUCUUCUAGAGACCUGAUGAGUUUAACACGGUAUUUUGUGGGACUACUGUUCAAGAGCAACUUCAGAAUAAACAAUUCAAAUUGUCUGUUUCUGAUACGAUUUUUCACGAUAUUGUCACGUCUGAUUUGUAAUCACUAAAUAAAUUUCAUUUUUCUGUAUAUCCUAAUUUUGUAAAAUGUGAUGUUCUGACGUACGGCACACUUUCCCAAAAUUACACGAAUAAUUGUA